Molecule: long non-coding RNA, 6583 nt
Filed under: Gallus gallus (chicken)
Lineage: Eukaryota; Metazoa; Chordata; Aves; Galliformes; Phasianidae
Description: lncRNA (ENSGALG00010022048.1)
Source: RNAcentral
GUAUUCUUCCUCAGAAGGACAAGGACUUCAUCUGUGGAAAAAAAAGCCUGUGCACAAAUUUCAGCCGAAGGGAGGGGAAAAAAAGCCAUGCUUCCCACUUGCCUUCAUUUUUAUGGCCCAUUUGCACUCUUUUCCCAGUGUUUUCAGCAGCCGCCUCAAUCCUCCUGCAGAAAUCCCUCAGGACUGCCUGAUCCAAUACAAGGUUUACUGCAGCAGCUUUCCCAGUUAAGGCCUUGUUGCCAGUGGGUGGAGUGGUGAGAUCUACAUUGCAUCUACUAUGGCUAAGGAGAAGACCAGCAUUUCCAGGACUGUCAACUGAACCUCCUUCACACUACAGACACAACUUUAUAAAUACAAAAAGAAAAAGAAAAAAUUGAACUGUGAUCUUUCUGGAAUGGAGAUGUAUCCAAAAGAACUGUGCUUUGGGUUGUACAGCCUUCCCAAGGAGUCAGAACAAAUAUCCAGACUUCAACACGAGACCAAGCAGAGUUGCUCAGUCCCUGUGGAGAUGAGAUAUAGAACUGGAGAAUAUAAACAGAUGUGGAGACAUUUUGAUGCAUUUCUGAAAAAACAAAUGACAUUUUGCUGCUAUAUUUUAGAGUUCAGUCCAGCCCCCUUAUCAAGAAUAUGAUGCAAAAAACAAUAGUCACUUCAUUUUCAUUUCUCAGUCUGUCUGGAGAGCAAAAGGCACAGUCAUCUAGUAGAUGAGGUAACAUCAGAGCCUAACAACUGUUGAGAAAGUCUUGUAGAGUUUAAAAUGCUGAAGAAAAAGGGAAGAAUCAUUAAGAAACUAUAAAUCUGAAGGAAAUCAAUAUGAUAGUCUAAGAUCUUGAAAUAGCAUAGCAUGUAUUUUUAUUUAUUAUUGCAGGCAGGUUGAUUAGUACCUGAGGGAGAUUCUCAGAAUCACAAAGCAUGGGCUGGAAGGGACCGCUGGAGAUCAUCUACAAGCCAGCACAAUGCAUCUAACCCAAUACAGACUAAAAGAUUCCACAGAAACAAGGAACUAUAGGGUACUGGAGCAGAAAUGCUAAGUCACAGCUUGAACCAGUGAUUGAGCACCUGGUGGGAAGGCAGGGCCAACCCAGGGGAGCUCAGGUGCAUGCAAUGAGGAUCUGCCCGAUCCUGGCUCCACCCCUUCCCAGACCUCAUUUAAGGACUGGCAGUAGGGGCAAGAGCAUCUCACUGGAGAUCCCUGCCUAGUAGAGGCCUUCUAAAGGUAAGCAGUUUUUCUUCCUUUGUUUCUGCAUCCAUGGUUGCUGCAUUUGGGCUUGCUCUCAUUUGCUGCAGCCUAGGAUUGUGCUGCUCUGCUAUUAUUGCUAUGCUUUCCAUUACAUUGCAGAUACAAAAGGUUAAACUCCAUCUUCCUAGUCUUGUCCCCCUUCUUCUGUACGGGAGAGCCAUCCUGUGAAAGAAGUAAGACUGCAGCAGUGAAAGUUUAGGGUAUUUUCUACAUCUCUGGAGCUGACUUCUGCGGGCAGAUGAAGGACGUGCAGACAGCGAGAGUGUCUGUAGCUCACGGUUUUGAAAUGGCAAGGCAUGCUGUUCAAGGAUAUCUUUACCAAUUUUAACUAACCAGCGUGGCCUGCUCAGGCCAGUAUUAUGGACAGCAACAAACAAGAGGACACUUUGUCUCAUCAGUCUCAUGGAUAUAACUUUCUGCUUACAGCUGUAUUUGGCUAAGACCUGUACGUGGUUAUGGACUUUGACUCAGUGGCUGGGCUUGGAUGGGAGCCUUCUGGCUUACAAUCCUAUGCUCCAACCAUCUAAUCUCUCAGCCCAAAGGAAACUAUGGUGUCCCUGUGGACUCUUAGUAAGACACCACAGCUUUGUUGAGUGCUUAGCUUUUGAUGGGGGUAUUUGAAGGCUUCACAGAUGGCAUUCAGUGACUCUGUUCCCCCUUUCUACCUGGAGGCUGCCAAAGGAUGGCAGCAAAGAGACAGAUGUUAGAGGGAUGUCAGGGUGUGAAUAAAGGGGCACGUGCAACAGGAAAAGCGCUGCAAUAGCUGUUGCUGUGAAGGAAAAGCAUUCCAUACUGGAAAGCCAGCUAUAUGGAAUGCAGUCUUUUCUGCAGUUUGGUGCUGAUAAAAAUGCUGCACUGGCAUUUCUGCAAUAUGAUACUCCAAAGCAAGAAUAUGGUUUGUUAUUACAUCUGUGGCCAGCAGGACUUCGUGGUGGUGGAGGAGACAUCCUCAGCUAUGGCUGAAUGUUUAGUUUCCAUGCCCCUUCUGUCCUAGGAUGGCAGUCAGCAAUAAUUACUUCAGUGGUUUCUACCCUACAAUUCUUAGCCUCUAAGGACUAUACACGGAUCCAGAAACUCGUUCCAUGCAAGCCCUUUCUAACAGGAUGAUGACUUCUAGUUUCUGCUGGACUUGAUCUAGAUUCGCAUGGGAAAGCUAGAGAAGAAAUGACAGUUUGCUGGAGCAGCCUGUGCCAGGCCAGAUUUCUGUAACGAGCCAUCUGCAUUUGGAAACAACCCUGAGCUGACAGAGAAAGAAACAUAAUAAUCAAUCUGAGGCAUAUGAUGUAAUAAUCUACCAGCCACAAGAUCUAGAUAGGAGAGGAAAAUUGAUCAGUAAUGACAACUGUUAUUUACAGGAGUGUUAAGACUACCACCUGGAACGCCAGAAGAUGGGCAGUGUCCUUUAAUUCUGUUGCAAAUUUCUGACACCUAAGCAUGCUUUUCUGCAGGACAAGAGAAGGGGCAAUUGCACUUAUUUGUCUUGUUUAACAGAACUCCUGUUUCUGACAUAAUCUUUACACUUGCUUCUCUAGUUAAGUCUCUUUUUUUUUCUUCUUCUUUUCUUUCCCUGGUGUUUGCAUGAACUCGGUGAACCCUCAUCACGUGUGGCAGUGUUUAUAUUUGCACAGGCUGUUCUGUGUGUCUCUGUUUGUGUUGCCACCACAUCUACAUGGUUUGGCAGCAGCCCCACGGCUGUGUUUCAGCUGCAUAUAAAUCAGCUUCGCUCCAUCCCCCUGUGUUUCCAUCUGUCUGUCUUCCUUGAUUGCUCUGAAAUGUUACAGGGCAUGGAGGUUAGCCCAUGGCUGAACCCUUCAGAGAGAAAUGGUGCAAAACCAAACCUGAGUUUCUCCUCCUCAAAUCUAACUCCACAACCUUUGGAGGUGUGGGGUGUUAAUGUUUUUGCAGUGACAAACCUCAAAGCGGGGACUAACCUUUGCUUCUGUAGUUUUCAGGUCUGUUUCUCCCAAAACACUUGUAUAGAAGCUCUAAGGUCACCUCUGUGUUGUGGAGCUAAUCCUUCCUUAGCUUUUCAUUAUGUGAAGAUCUCCCUUUACUCGCACAAAUUUAACUUCUGCUCUGUCAUUAAUUAUUACCUCCAAUUUGAUUGCUUCACAUCUCAUUAGUUCAUUUAUUUCUCUGGAGAAGGAGGUGUGAAAUGGGAAUGACUGGAAGCAUGGGGAACUGCAGGCACGUGAUCAGAGAAUGGGAUGUUAGGCAGAAAUCACAGACCUUGAUACUCUCCUUGCACAGAGAUGUUUCUCUAGGAGUCUCCUCCCAGACUGAGUUCAUAAUGGGGUUAAUCACAUAUGAGUUUGAUUGAAUUGCUGUGAGCCCUGGAGAUAAACUUCUAGCUCAGAGUGUUUGUGCGAUUUACUCUUGGCCAUGUCUCUUCUCUUGCAGAAUAGAUGCCCCAGGGGAACAGAAGAUCGAGCAUGCUGCCCUUUGGCCAUUGGCACUAAUUUGCCAAUUCAGUAGAGAUGACAAAAGACGAAGUGGGGAGUCCACGCCCAUCUCAGGUAAAAGAAUUGCCUGUUUCAAGAAAACUGGGAAACACUGAUAGGACAAAAUAAAUGGGAGAAGAACAAGACUCCUAUGUCAUCUUGUGGACUUCAGACACAGCGACAGAUCAAACGUAGUUAUGCCUGUUAACUCCACGAGAAUAAGACAUAGCUGCAGUAUGGAGCUGAGUCAGUUUGGAUUCAGCAUUUAAAGAAAGAAUGGAAGAGAAGCAACCAGGUGUCAAAAGAUGUCCAAGCAUUAUCUGGCCAGAGUGCAUUGCCAAUCCACCAUGCCAGCCAUCCCACCAGAGGCAUCUUGAUGUCAGCAUUGAUGUGACCCAGAAAUGAGGGGAGAGUGACGGGAAUUCACUGUGCUGGGGAAUUCAGUGCUGCAGAUAGUGAAACACCUUCCAAACCAGAAGAGGUUGCUCUGUGUUCCAAUAUUACUGAUGGUAAAGGAAAUGUUGUGUGAAAUGUUCUGGUCAGCCAAGGAAGUGGACCAUGCAGCAUGGGAUGGCAGCCCCUUCGUGAUCCCCGAGGCUUUGGUGCUGGGAUCAGCACAAGGAAGGACGCCAGAGGAAAAAGUCAGGUUCAGGUUGGAAACGUAUUGCUCAGAGGAAGCAGAUGGAAGAAGAGGUGUCUCUGACUUUGAAUCAGCUUCUGUAUGAUCAUGGCUUAAUGAUCAUAAAUCCUCUGGGGCCUGCAACCUAACAAGGGAAUAAAGGAGGAAGCGCCGUCUCUCUCAGAUCAAAGUAAAGAGAAAAGCUGAGAUGUAAAGGAGACGAAAUGAGCUACAGGGUAUGUGAAAAUCAGAGCUCCCAUACAGCUUGCUGGAGACUGCCAAAAUAGGGUUCUCCACAGCCAUCCCCUACCUAUGCAAUAUAGUGAUGGGAGCGUUUUUAGAUAAGAUCAGACCCAGAGAGAACAUGCCUGGCUCUGUUUCUUCCAGCGGAACAAUAUGGAAACCCACUGCUGGGAAACCGUUUUUCCGAGCCAGAGAGGAGGCAGGGAAUUGUUCUGUGCAACCAUUCAGGAGCCUCCGCUCCCACGCAUUCUCCCGCUUGCUGACACCCUGCCAGGACCGCAAAGGAGGAAUUGAUUUACAUGCAGUAAGUCAACUAAAUAAAUAGAUAAAUAAAGCCCUUCCUACCUUGCUCAGCUAAAGAAAGGGAGGGACUAAGAUGAAAUUCAGUGGGAAGUCCUCUGCAGGUGUGCUGCUGCUGCUGCCCGGAGCUGGGCACUGGGUGCUGACAGCACUGGUAAACGUGAUAUUUAUUCCCUGGGAGGGAAUUUUGGACUGCUCUUCGUAAGGCUUGUCACUUACUGUCUUCUGUUCUUGCUACUGAACUCGGUGCUGUGUGAGAUCCCUGAGCUCAGACAGCUUUUGGUGGCUUCAGCAAGUGAGUCCCAAUUGUUUUAGUUCUUAUUUCGAUGAGCUAGUUCCUAAAAGCCCAGAUUCACUGCAGAAAGAUACCCCUUUGGGCUGAAACACUUCUCCUUUUGGGGACAGUGUCAAAUUGCUUGAAGAAAGAGCAUACAGAAGAGGGUUAUAGCAGUAUCCAUCCUCAAACUGGAUCCCAUCCUCUCCUAACUCCCAUUAAUUUGCUCCUUCCUGAGAAGUCUGCCCUGUAGACCGCUGUGCUUAAUAGGUGCCCUCCUCUGUGAUUUUCCUCCCCCUUUCCUACUUCUGCUCGUUUCAGCGUUCAUUGACAAAGGGGAGGUGGGGGUAGUGUGAAGAAAUACCACUGCACUUUGAAGCUUGCUCCUUUGAGCCAGCCUGUCCCUGUCUGGGAGCAGGUAGCCCACAACCGUGCACCAUUCCUUCCUACUUUGUCAUGCCCUCAGCUGCCCACACAGCUGCAGAAAUGCAGGGAAUAGGUUUGUAGGCCAUGAUGUGUUCUCGUGAAUUAUCUCCCAAUAAAACAGAGAUCUGGUGAUGGAGAUAGCGCUGCUGGGAGCUAAAAUGUGAGUCUGUGCCUGAAACUACCCUUGGGUUUCAUGGGGGCAUUCAACUCCCACUCUAUUUAAAUGCAAAUGACCUUUUCCUUCGCACUCCACUACUACCAGAACCGGGUCAGCCAAGAGAAUAGUUGUUUCACUUUGUUAUAAAAAUUGCUCAACUGACAUUCUCAUGGAGCUAAAGUUCUACUUCUCCUGCUAACAGACUGCCACAGCAGAUGAGAUGGGGGGGACAGAGUGAAGUUCAGGAAAUUUUCAUGUACCAGGUAGUUCAGUUUAAGGCAACAAUCAAUAGCAAAUUACAGCUGGAAUAGAGAGGAGGGUAGCUCUACUUGCUUGAAUACCUGUGAUGGGGGCCUACCUCCCGAAAAGGAGGCAGAAAUGUCCUUUACUGCCAGCAUUUUCCUGCCUUUUCCCAGAGCAGCAGGCGUGCUGCUCUUUAAUCCCAGCAAAGGAUAGGAGCCAGCCCCAGGAUACCUUGCACCCAGAAAUUGACUCGAGCAAAUAUAUAUGUGUGUGUGUGUGUGUACAUACACAAGAGCUAUAGAUAAAAUGUAUGGAUUCAACACAUACAGCUUCCCUGUACUGCUCUUUGUUUCACACUAUUAACCCUGUCCCCUCUCUCCUUGCUCACAUCUCUUCUCUGCCUUGCCCAAAAGCCCAUUGCUCUUUGCUCAAACUGACGGGAAAGCUGACGUGGAGAAGUUAACCAGGAACAAGUGUUUCCCACCUGUGUGCAGCUGAACAUGGUGCACUUUGGUUUCAGUUCUGACGAAGUGCCGGUGAGCCUGACAGUGCAUCUGUUUUUCUAACUCUCUUGGUUAGUCCGAGGAGAGAUAUUCUCUCUCUUUGAAAACCCCCACUUCUAAUAAAAAUAAUUCAUUCC